RNAcentral lists this ribosomal RNA (214 nucleotides) under uncultured bacterium. RNAcentral's name for it is "partial 16S ribosomal RNA". It matches the Rfam family "Bacterial small subunit ribosomal RNA", at positions 524 to 734 of the family's 1533-position model. The record is from RNAcentral.
GACGAAGGGGGGCUAGCGUUGUUCGGAAUUACUGGGCGUAAAGCGCGUGUAGGCGGUUGCCCAAGUCGGGUGUGAAAGCCUUGAGCUCAACUCAAGAAAUGCACUCGGUACUGGGUGACUAGAGGACCGGAGAGGAUAGUGGAAUUCCCAGUGUAGUGGUGAAAUACGUAGAGAUUGGGAAGAACACCAGUGGCGAAGGCGGCUACGUCUGGAC